Molecule: ribosomal RNA, 539 nt
Filed under: uncultured Cytophagales bacterium
Lineage: Bacteria; Pseudomonadati; Bacteroidota; Sphingobacteriia; Sphingobacteriales
Description: bacterial SSU rRNA
Rfam family: Bacterial small subunit ribosomal RNA
Source: RNAcentral
UAAGGAAUAUUGGGCAAUGGACGCAAGUCUGACCCAGCCAUGCCGCGUGCAGGAUGAAUGCCCUAUGGGUUGUAAACUGCUUUUAUUCGGGAAAAAACCCUUCGACGUGUCGGAGGCUGAUGGUACCGAAAGAAUAAGGAUCGGCUAACUCCGUGCCAGCAGCCGCGGUAAUACGGAGGAUCCAAGCGUUAUCCGGAUUUAUUGGGUUUAAAGGGUGCGUAGGCGGAAUUGUAAGUCAGUGGUGAAAUCCUACAGCUUAACUGUAGAACGGCCAUUGAUACUGCAAAUCUUGAGUAUAUUUGAAGUGGGCGGAAUGUGUCAUGUAGCGGUGAAAUGCUUAGAUAUGACACAGAACACCGAUUGCGAAGGCAGCUCACUAAACUAUAACUGACGCUGAGGCACGAAAGCGUGGGGAGCAAACAGGAUUAGAUACCCUGGUAGUCCACGCCCUAAACUAUGAUUACUCGAUGUGUGCGAUACACUGUACGCGUCUGAGCGAAAGCAUUAAGUAAUCCACCUGGGGAGUACAUCGCAAGACG